UCCAUUGAAAAGAGGGCGAUUUUGAAAAAGGCUUCCUUGAGUAGAUAUUUCUGCACAGCUCAUCAUUUCUGCCCAUUCUAAAAACUUUCCAACCAACAAAAUCAUGUUGGGACAUCACGAUUUUCUAACCCUAACCCUACCCUGGUGCACACCCCUAACCCUUCUAUAGGGCAAAUGUUCCA
Long non-coding RNA from Varanus komodoensis (Komodo dragon), 182 nucleotides. RefSeq lists it as uncharacterized. Lineage: Eukaryota; Metazoa; Chordata; Lepidosauria; Squamata; Varanidae. The transcript has 3 exons. The record is from RefSeq and is a predicted model, not a curated record.